RNAcentral lists this unclassified non-coding RNA (237 nucleotides) under Hevea brasiliensis (rubber tree). The record is from RNAcentral. Lineage: Eukaryota; Viridiplantae; Streptophyta; Magnoliopsida; Malpighiales; Euphorbiaceae.
GUGGAUUUGGACCUGUCUUUAGGGUAAACUUCUUCCUUUCUAUCUCCCUCUCUCUAAUUGGGUGUACUGGUGAACCCCAAAUUCUAGUUGGUUACUUUGAAAAUCGGUGAAUGGAAUUGAACAAGGUUUUAUGGCUUGUUGGGGUUUUGUGUUCAGGAACUGAUGGGAUGUUGGGUGUCUUUUGUUCAAUUUUGUUUAUCUAUUAUUUUAGUGUCCUUAGCAUUUUUAUACGCAUGG